GACAGAGGGUGCAAACGUUGCUCGGAAUCACUGGGCGUAAAGGGCGUGUAGGCGGGAAUGUAAGUCGGGCGUGAAAUCCCUAGGCUCAACCUAGGAACUGCACUCGAAACUGCGUUUCUUGAGUGCCGGAGAGGAAAGCGGAAUUCCUGGUGUAGAGGUGAAAUUCGUAGAUAUCAGGAGGAACACCGAUGGCGAAGGCAGGUCACUGGGCCGCAACUGACGCUGAGGAGCGAAAGCAUGGGGAGCGAACAGG
This 253-nucleotide ribosomal RNA is filed under the name uncultured bacterium. Its description in RNAcentral is "partial 16S ribosomal RNA". It matches the Rfam family "Bacterial small subunit ribosomal RNA", at positions 524 to 776 of the family's 1533-position model. The record is from RNAcentral.